This 821-nucleotide ribosomal RNA is filed under the name uncultured Desulfofustis sp. RNAcentral's name for it is "bacterial SSU rRNA". It matches the Rfam family "Bacterial small subunit ribosomal RNA", at positions 8 to 812 of the family's 1533-position model. The record is from RNAcentral. Lineage: Bacteria; Pseudomonadati; Thermodesulfobacteriota; Desulfobulbia; Desulfobulbales; Desulfocapsaceae.
AGAGUUUGAUCCUGGCUCAGAACGAACGCUGGCGGCGUGCUUAAUACAUGCAAGUCGUGCGAGAACGGGUCCUUCGGGACCUUAGUAAAGCGGCGAACGGGUGCGUAACACGUGGGCAACCUGCCUAUCAGUUUGGGAUAAGCUCUCGAAAGGGGGUCUAAUACCGAAUGAUACCCAGAGGAGACAUCUCUUUUGGUUCAAAGACGGUGCAAGCCGUCACUGAUAGAUGGGCCCGCGCCCCAUUAGCUAGUUGGUAGGGUAACGGCCUACCAAGGCUCCGAUGGGUAGCCGACCUGAGAGGGUGACCGGCCACACUGGGACUGAGAUACGGCCCAGACUCCUACGGGAGGCAGCAGUAGGGAAUAUUGCGCAAUGGAGGCAACUCUGACGCAGCAACGCCGCGUGGAUGAUGAAGCUCCUUGGAGUGUAAAGUCCUGUCGCCAGGGAAGAAACGGUGGAUGAGGAAAUGCAUCUGCUCUGACGGUACCUGGAGAGGAAGUUCCGGCUAACUCCGUGCCAGCAGCCGCGGUAACACGGGGGGAACGAGCGUUGUUCGGAUUUACUGGGCGUAAAGGGUGCGUAGGCGGGUUGGCAAGUCGGGUGUGAAAUUCCAUAGCUUAACUAUGGACCUGCAUUCGAAACUGCCGGUCUUGAGUACUGGAGAGGUGGGUGGAAUUCUCGGUGUAGCGGUGAAAUGCGUAGAUAUCUAGAGGAACGCCUGAGGCGAAAGCGGGGCACUGUGCCGAUUCUGACGCUGUGGCGCGAAAGCGUGGGGAGCAAACAGGAUUAGAUACCCUGGUAGUCCACGCCGUAAACGAUGC